Molecule: ribosomal RNA, 400 nt
Filed under: uncultured bacterium
Lineage: Bacteria
Description: bacterial SSU rRNA
Rfam family: Bacterial small subunit ribosomal RNA
Source: RNAcentral
GAAUAUUGGACAAUGGGCGAAAGCCUGAUCCAGCCAUGCCGCGUGAGUGAUGAAGGCCCUAGGGUUGUAAAGCUCUUUCAACGGUGAAGAUAAUGACGGUAACCGUAGAAGAAGCCCCGGCUAACUUCGUGCCAGCAGCCGCGGUAAUACGAAGGGGGCUAGCGUUGUUCGGAAUUACUGGGCGUAAAGCGCACGUAGGCGGAUUGUUAAGUGAGGGGUGAAAUCCCAGGGCUCAACCCUGGAACUGCCUCUCAUACUGGCAAUCUCGAGUCCGGAAGAGGUGAGUGGAAUUCCGAGUGUAGAGGUGAAAUUCGUAGAUAUUCGGAGGAGCACCAGUGGCGAAGGCGGCUCACUGGUCCGGUACUGACGCUGAGGUGCGAAAGCGUGGGGAGCAAACAGG